UGGGGAAUCUUGCGCAAUGGCCGAAAGGCUGACGCAGCGACGCCGCGUGUGGGAUGAAGGUCUUCGGAUUGUAAACCACUGUCGGGAGGGACGAAGCUCUGACGGUACCUCCAAAGGAAGCACCGGCUAACUCUGUGCCAGCAGCCGCGGUAAUACAGAGGGUGCGAGCGUUGUCCGGAAUCACUGGGCGUAAAGGGCGCGUAGGCGGCCUGGUAAGUCGGGGGUGAAACGCUGCGGCUCAACCGCAGCACUGCCUUCGAGACUGCCGGGCUUGAGCACGGUAGAGGCUGGUGGAAUUCCCGGUGUAGCGGUGGAAUGCGUAGAGUUCGGGAAGAACAUCGGUGGCGAAGGCGGCCAGCUGGGCCGUUGCUGACGCUGAGGCGCGACAGCGUGGGGAGCAAACAGG
Molecule: ribosomal RNA, 406 nt
Filed under: bacterium
Lineage: Bacteria
Description: partial 16S ribosomal RNA
Rfam family: Bacterial small subunit ribosomal RNA
Source: RNAcentral